GAUGAACGCUGGCGGCGUGCCUAAUACAUGCAAGUCGAGCGAACGGACGAGAAGCUUGCUUCUCUGAUGUUAGCGGCGGACGGGUGAGUAACACGUGGAUAACCUACCUAUAAGACUGGGAUAACUUCGGGAAACCGGAGCUAAUACCGGAUAAUAUUUUGAACCGCAUGGUUCAAAAGUGAAAGACGAUCUUGCUGUCACUUAUAGAUGGAUCCGCGCUGCAUUAGCUAGUUGGUAAGGUAACGGCUUACCAAGGCAACGAUGCAUAGCCGACCUGAGAGGGUGAUCGGCCACACUGGAACUGAGACACGGUCCAGACUCCUACGGGAGGCAGCAGUAGGGAAUCUUCCGCAAUGGGCGAAAGCCUGACGGAGCAACGCCGCGUGAGUGAUGAAGGUCUUCGGAUCGUAAAACUCUGUUAUUAGGGAAGAACACAUGUGUAAGUAACUGUGCACAUCUUGACGGUACCUAAUCAGAAAGCCACGGCUAACUACGUG
Molecule: ribosomal RNA, 497 nt
Filed under: uncultured bacterium
Lineage: Bacteria
Description: partial 16S ribosomal RNA
Rfam family: Bacterial small subunit ribosomal RNA
Source: RNAcentral